RNAcentral lists this ribosomal RNA (497 nucleotides) under uncultured bacterium. Its description in RNAcentral is "partial 16S ribosomal RNA". It matches the Rfam family "Bacterial small subunit ribosomal RNA", at positions 28 to 507 of the family's 1533-position model. The record is from RNAcentral.
GAUGAACGCUGGCGGCGUGCCUAAUACAUGCAAGUCGAGCGAACGGACGAGAAGCUUGCUUCUCUGAUGUUAGCGGCGGACGGGUGAGUAACACGUGGAUAACCUACCUAUAAGACUGGGAUAACUUCGGGAAACCGGGGCUAAUACCGGAUGAUAUUUUGAACCGCAUGGUUCAAAAGUGAAGGACGGUUUUGCUGUCACUUAUAGAUGGAUCCGCGCUGCAUUAGCUAGUUGGUAAGGUAACGGCUUACCAAGGCAACGAUGCAUAGCCGACCUGAGAGGGUGAUCGGCCACACUGGAACUGAGACACGGUCCAGACUCCUACGGGAGGCAGCAGUAGGGAAUCUUCCGCAAUGGGCGAAAGCCUGACGGAGCAACGCCGCGUGAGUGAUGAAGGUCUUCGGAUCGUAAAACUCUGUUAUUAGGGAAGAACAUAUGUGUAAGUAACUGUGCACAUCUUGACGGUACCUAAUCAGAAAGCCACGGCUAACUACGUG